AAAAAAUAUUUACAUGUACAUAAUAAAUAUGUUGUUUAUUUUGUUUAUACAACUCUUACUUUUUUAAUGUACUUUAUAAAAUGUUUUAAUAUUCAGAACAAGUUUUAAAUAUAUAUAAAUAGUAUCAAGUUCCACUUAUAAUAUAGUGUGAAUUUACGAUUGUAAUUUAUGAGAAAAUGCAGAUGGAACAAAAGUGUAAUAUUAUUACUUGGAUAUGAAGUAAACUUGUAAUAACACCAGAAAUGUAGUGAUUAACUGCACCACCACUGCGUAAUAUCCCUCUAUAAAUUGUGAAGCAUUCAUAAAAAUCGAACAAGGGCAUUCCAUCCAUCCAAAGCGAAUUGCUGGUGAAAGAAUCUUUGAAAAUGAACAAUUUGAUAUAAUAUUGCCACCUUUGUAAUUGGGAUCCUCUAGGUUGUCAUAAAAGAACAGUCGAUGGGGCGGAUUUCCGUUUCCAUAAUAAACUAACCGCAUGAUCGAACGCGAUCGAUAAUUCAACGAUUGGAACGAUUGGAUGGAAUUCAACGAUUUUACUAAAGACAUGGACGAUAAAAAACGCACCUGCUGCAUCUGUCAAGCCACAGGAAGAAACUGGGAUGGAAAUUGAAGAACGAGAAGAAUAUCAACCCGUGCUCACCUUGGAUGCCAGGACAAUGUGGAACUUCAGGACAGCGUGGGACUGAAGGGCUUCAUUGAUCCUGAUACCAGUAGAGAUUCCGGCGCCUAUAAUGUGCUUCCUGGUUCAUCCAGAGAUUAGUGUAUUACCUUACAAUAAUAUUAUUUUCUAUUGCAUUCCUUUUUUUAGUUAUGAUAGGUAUUCAGUAUUAUGUGUGUCAUUUAAAAGGUGCUUCUAUUAAUUUUUCGUUACAAUUACAUAUUGUACUGUCCAAAGGGGUCGACUCCAAGCAGUCAGCAGGAAAUGCUUUAAAGGUAUGAAGUAUUUUUUUUAUUAUAUAUUUUAUUGCAUUUUUUUAUUAUAUAUUUUUAUUGUACAUUUUACCCUAUUUUUAUUGUAUAUUUCAUUGUAUUUUUAUUAUAUAUAUAUUUUAAAUAUAACGUAUGUAUAUUUUUAUUAUACAUUUUAUUAUAUUUUUAUUAUAUAUAUUUUUUAUUGUAUAUUGUACUGUAUAUUUUUAUUACAUUUAUGUGUAAUAAAUUUAAUUUCGUAAAGUAGGGCCUUUUUUUUUCUUCCUUUACUUUUUAUUCAGUUUCAUUUUAAAGCAGGUACAAAUACACAUAUAUAGGACCAUGCUGUUGUGUGUGUGGCUCACUGAUUAUCUUGUAUGUGGUAGUAACGACACUGGCGCUGCCAAGAUGCGGGGGCUCGAAUUAAAUCGGGCUUCAACGCGAAAUACGGUAGCUUAGCGGCCCUGGUCUAAGCUAACAUACGCUGCUGAAUAUUGUUAAUUAUGACAGAAAACAGUAAAAGUAGAGUCGCUAUGGGAGCUUGCGCUCUAGUUUGAACAUUUAUCUAGCGGAAACGACUAUUGAGAAGUCUCGAAUCUGCACUGUCAAGACUUAAAUAGGACAAUGCGCAAGCCCUUGCAUUCUGUCCAGGAUUAUCAUGUUACACGUAAAAUAUAGUUCCGGCAUUUGUCGCUACAAACGCUCAUAACUGUCCGCACAUAGAGACACUCAGUCAGAAACACAUAGCAAAGGAGACACAUGCCAUCGGUAAGGUAGGCUUUAUAAGCAAGCGAGACGUCAACGACAAUGUAUCGUUGGUACGAGCAGCCGUCCGAGACACAUUCACACAUGCAACGCUCGGUGGCAUGUCCGUGUGCCUACGAGACUGCAAGGGUUCCGUAUUGUCCUAUUUAUGUCUUGACAGUGCAGAUUCGAGACUUCUUAAUAGUCGUUUCCGCUAGAUAA
Long non-coding RNA from Hylaeus volcanicus, 1872 nucleotides. RefSeq lists it as uncharacterized. The record is from RefSeq and is a predicted model, not a curated record. The transcript has 6 exons. Lineage: Eukaryota; Metazoa; Arthropoda; Insecta; Hymenoptera; Colletidae.